AUUAUUUAUUAAAUAUUAUAAUAUUUUUUAAAAUAAAAUAAAAACUAAUUUAUAAGUUAAUGAGCUUGAAUUAAGCAUAU
RNAcentral lists this transfer RNA (80 nucleotides) under Polypedilum sp. E MEC-2013. Its description in RNAcentral is "partial tRNA-Ser". Lineage: Eukaryota; Metazoa; Arthropoda; Insecta; Diptera; Chironomidae. The record is from RNAcentral.